CACACAGUUUCUAGCACAGAGGAAGAAACAUGUGGCCAGAUGUGGGGGGAAAAGAUAAAGGCAAAGCAUUUCUUAGUUUUCAGAAGGGAAUUAGCUAUUUAGAGCUUUGCUUUGACUCAAAAUCUAUAUGGGAAUAUUUUUAUAUGUUUAUUUUCCUGAGAGAUCCUGGCAAUUCACACAAACAGAAAGCAAGAGGCAGUACUACAGCUAACCUGAGCAUCUGCUGGCCAACCACACAACAUCCGUCACUUGAGAAGACCACAAGGACUCAAAGCUUGCACAGCAAGAGGCCGGCCCGAGAUCAGAUGCUCCCAGGCAAAAGCCAACCCACUCCUCCCAUGAUGAAGCCAUGCCUGCCAACUGGGGAACUUGACUUAGCUCCACAAGCAGCAAUUGAUGGGAACAAAUCCUUGACUUGAGAUAAGGCAGCAUCAGCCUGGCAAACACUUGGUACAGAUCCCAGUCUUCAGCUGCCACCGUGAAAAUCUACAGCGAAACACUUUCAGAUGGAAAACAGCACCCUCAGUCUUGCGAAGAUGUGGAAGUGAGAACUGGUGCAUGCCUCUGACACAGAGGGCUUCUGCAGGGAUACAGACCAUAUUUGUGCUCGCGCAGCCAAGCCGGUUAGGUCACACAAAAGUCGUGCCAGGAGCAGUGCCUGCACGGCAAUGUGGGUGCAGCACAGCCAACAGGGACAACAGCAUGGUAGCACCACACGCCUGCAAACGGGCACCUGCGUGAGGCAGCUCACUGUGCUGCGUGCUCCAGCGCAAGCUCGAGCCUCUGAAGAUGGCUUUGGACUUAAACAGCAAGUCAACUAUUGACUUCUUUUUGUUUCCCCCAAAAUAACUGUUAAUGGCUUAUUCACAGAACUGAGUUAUAGUCGCGUAAAAGUGAACUGGGGAAAUUGUUCAAUUUAUUUUGGUUCAAAAUCAUGUCCCUUGGAAGGCGUGUCUUGAUCUGGCAUAGACUUCUUAAUGGGGGUUCAGAAAAUGCUGAUGUCAAAUACAAAGUUGCACAAUCAGAUUGAAAUUUGAAGUUCGGUACUAUUUCUUGGGACACUUUUCAGCAGAUAAAAAGGUUCCUGAUUAUGGUCUCGAUUGAGGCUGGCACAUCCUCUGCUUCUGGAGUGCUUUGCAUUUGCAUUGAUAGCCUGGGGCUCUACGGGAGACGAAGAUAACUCCACCAUCACAGGUAGACAAACACUUAGCUAACAUCAAAUUACCAUGCAGCCCAACCAAAACCAGGGGCUUGAAGCAGCUCAUGGGACAUGGGGAUGCAUACAGCCAUUGCCCACGAUAAUGAAGGCAAAGGUACAAUCCCCUGUUCUUAACUAAUAAAUAUACAUCCAAAUACAUCACUCAUGACAGAUUUAUAUUUAGCUAUUGAGGAAGCAUAGAAAGGUCUGGCUACUUAUUCCAAGUAUCAAAUCACACAGAUUCUGUCCAUGUUGAGUGUAUCACAACUUGUACAUGGCCACUAUACACAUAUAUUUACAGUGAGCUUUGAAAAUAUUCAUAUCUGAAUUACCACAAUACUUCACAAAAACAAACAAACAAAAAACUUUAUUUAAAAAAAAAAAACAAAACAGUCUCCAAACGGAAUGUUUGGAGUGUCUGUUACUCACUGCAGACAAAAGUUAUUAUUAUUCAUUUCUGCCCCUGACUUGCACUUUAAAAUUUAAGCCUAACACUUCUAACACACCCAACAUCUUCUGUUUCAGUAUACUGAUAUACAAAUUGUGUUCUUCUAUGAACAUCUGCAAGCCAACAAAAACUAAGCUACAAAAAAAUGGUAAGAUAAUUAUAGUAGAAAACUGCCCAGCAUUCACAAGAAAUUAGUGCAUGUACAAUUGCCUAGAUUGUUUAGAAAUUAGUCUGUGGGUCAACCAUGUAUUCCACAGCCAAAAGGCAAGAUUUUUACCCUUUCACUGACAUUAUUCCUACUAAUGCUGACAAGUGGGCUUCCUACUUCAGAUGUAGGUUUAACUUGCAAAGUAUCUAAUAACACAAGGCACCGGAGAAGUAGCAGAUGCUACUCAUAUUUUUUCUAAAUAUAAUAUGUUUUGUUUUUUUUUAAAUGAAUUACUGCAAGCCUAAAACCUAUAUAGUACUUCUUGUAACCAAAUAUUCUCUUGGAGGAAUUUACAGGAAGAGGUAUGUUUUUGCUUCUGAAAUAGCUAUAUGAAUAAACAGUGGUCAGAGACAUGACAGUAUAAUAUUCUGCCUCAUUGUUUUCCAUUUAUUAAUUUAAGAACCUGAGUUUCUAUAGGGACAAAGACAAACCUUUGAAAAUUUACAUAUUAAAUUAGAUAUUUUGAUUCAUUUUAACCCAAAGGUAAGAGGAAAAAAGUGGAAAAAAAAAAAUACAAGACUGGUCAGACUACUCCCAGGAUGAUGAGACAGUUUGAUUCAGAGGUUUAAGCACAGUCCUCAAGGCACAGCAUCUGACAGUAGGCUCCCCACCGCAACUGUAACACAUGCUGACAAUAAGCCUAGCUAUACCUUCUCCCAUGUCAGACAAACUUUACAUACACAAAAUGCUCUUACCACAGGCGCAUUUUGUAUCCAAUUAGUGCCAAGUGGCAAAGAAACUGCAGAAAAGACCUUUCUAAGACAGGAUGAGGCACUCUUGAAGCCUGGCAAGACCCAGAUGGUUCUCUGCAAGGGGAGGACUUCACCAAUUCAGGUCAAAAGGCAGCAAGAAACAUCAGCUGACCAAAGAAACCGUGUGCUUCCAAAAACUGUAGAGCAUACCAAGAAUAAUGGAUAGAGGAUUAUUCAUCAAAACGCAUUCUAAAGAUAGGAGCAUUAAGAGGAUAACCAG
RNAcentral lists this long non-coding RNA (2826 nucleotides) under Anas zonorhyncha (Eastern spot-billed duck). Its description in RNAcentral is "lncRNA (ENSAZOG00000006538.1)". Lineage: Eukaryota; Metazoa; Chordata; Aves; Anseriformes; Anatidae. The record is from RNAcentral.